RNAcentral lists this unclassified non-coding RNA (376 nucleotides) under uncultured fungus. RNAcentral's name for it is "partial contains 5.8S ribosomal RNA and internal transcribed spacer 2". The stretch from base 1 to 133 matches the Rfam family "5.8S ribosomal RNA", at positions 22 to 154 of the family's 154-position model. Lineage: Eukaryota; Fungi. The record is from RNAcentral.
UGGCUCUCCCAUCGAUGAAGAACGCAGCGAAAUGCGAUAAGUAAUGUGAAUUGCAGAAUUCAGUGAAUCAUCGAAUCUUUGAACGCACCUUGCGCCCUUUGGUAUUCCGAAGGGCAUGCUUGUUUGAGUGUCAUUAAAUUCUCAACCUUGAAUAGCUUGCUAUUGAAGGCUUGGAUGUGAGGGUUGCUGGCUUCCUUCAGUGGCGGUCUGCUCCCUUUAAAUGCAUUAGUGAGAUCCUUUGUGAAUCGUUCACUUGGUGUGAUAAUUAUCUACGCUGCUUGAAUGUGAAGCAAAACCUAUGGGAACUCGCUCAUAACCGUCCUUAGGGACAAUUUAUUGACCAUUUGACCUCAAAUCAAGUAGGACUACCCGCUGA